RNAcentral lists this long non-coding RNA (1039 nucleotides) under Oryctolagus cuniculus (rabbit). RNAcentral's name for it is "lncRNA (ENSOCUG00000038882.1)". The record is from RNAcentral. Lineage: Eukaryota; Metazoa; Chordata; Mammalia; Lagomorpha; Leporidae.
GCAUUUGUGGAGUGAACAAUUCUCUGUCCGUCUGUCUUUCUCUGUCUGUCCCUCUGUCACUCUGCCUUUCAAAUAAACAAAUAAAUCUUUAAAAAAUAGGUUGAUGGUGCUCUAGGGAUGGAACUUUAAUACAAUUAUGAUGUUUAGGAGGUGAUUCUAGUAGGAGAUUCUUAGGUCGUUGAGUGUGUGUCCUUCCUUGGAAGUUAGUUCUUUUAAGAGGGUUGGUUGGUUAUAAAAGCCAAAUUUGGCCCAGAUCCCGUCUCUACUUCUGGUUUGUCAUGUGACCCUUUGCCAGUACUCCAUGCUCCUUCUUGUCAUGUGAUGCUAUAUUCUGCAAGCAAGAAAUCUUUUACCAGAUGCCAAACCCAUGCGAACAGCAAGUCUUGGACUGUGAACUUCUAAAACUAUGAGUGGACAUAAACUUGCUUUUUUCAUGAGUAGUUUGUAUUAGAUAUUUCAUUAUAGAAACAACAGCAACAAAAAAGCUUAAUACAGAACCUGUACAUGGGAGGCUUAGUAACUUACCAAUUUAACAGUUUUUGUGCCUUCCUAAAGGGCAAGUCCAAAGAAUUGUGACUGCCAACUUUAUGCAGUUACCUCCAAAGGGAAUUCUAAUUAUUAUGUGGCACAGAAAUGUAAAAGCUCCUCUUCUGGGAUCUGUGUAGAGGCUCUUCCUUGACUUUGAAGAAAAGGCUGAUGUUAUGGAGUUCGCACAAAGCACAUCACAGGAUCUGUCCUCCAGUGUUGAUGGACACUGAACUUCAGUCUGUGGGCACAGACGUAAAUGGCUGAAGCAGAGUAGAAUGGAGAUCACUAGCAUUUCUAAGGAAAUAGAAGGACUCGUUGUAGUGGCUUUACAGGUAAGUGGCAUUUAAAAUAGAAAACAAAAUUGAUUGUACAUAACCAGAUAUUUCUAUUUGUCCUUUAACCCAAUGGACAUUUAUCUUGUACAAGUUUUACAAGAAUGUAUUUGGAAAAAAUAGUACAGAGAAUGAUGUUUUAUUCCUAAUGGGAUUUUAGCAGUUUGGGCCAUAUGUAU